AUUGAACGCUGGCGGAAUGCUUUACACAUGCAAGUCGAGCGGCAGCGCGGCCUUCGGGCUGGCGGCGAGCGGCGAACGGGUGAGUGAUGCAUCGGAACAUGCCCAGUCGUGGGGGAUAACACUUCGAAAGAAGUGCUAAUACCGCAUACGUCCUGAGGGGGAAAGCGGGGGAUCGCAAGACCUCGCGCGAUUGGAGUGGCCGAUGUCAGAUUAGCUAGUUGGUGGGGUAAAGGCCUACCAAGGCGACGAUCUGUAGCUGGUCUGAGAGGAUGAUCAGCCACACUGGGACUGAGACACGGCCCAGACUCCUACGGGAGGCAGCAGUGGGGAAUUUUGGACAAUGGGGGCAACCCUGAUCCAGCCAUUCCGCGUGAGUGAAGAAGGCCUUCGGGUUGUAAAGCUCUUUCGGCAGGAACGAAACGGUGGGCUCUAACAUAGUCCGCUAAUGACGGUACCUGAAGAAGAAGCACCGGCUAACUACGUG
RNAcentral lists this ribosomal RNA (484 nucleotides) under uncultured bacterium. RNAcentral's name for it is "partial 16S ribosomal RNA". It matches the Rfam family "Bacterial small subunit ribosomal RNA", at positions 29 to 507 of the family's 1533-position model. The record is from RNAcentral.